This 445-nucleotide ribosomal RNA is filed under the name uncultured bacterium. Its description in RNAcentral is "partial 16S ribosomal RNA". It matches the Rfam family "Bacterial small subunit ribosomal RNA", at positions 354 to 796 of the family's 1533-position model. The record is from RNAcentral.
GUGAGGAAUAUUGGUCAAUGGGCGCAAGCCUGAACCAGCCAUGCCGCGUGCAGGAAGACGGUCCUAUGGAUUGUAAACUGCUUUUAUUUGGGAAUAAACUCCGGUACGUGUACCGGCCUGAAGGUACCAAAUGAAUAAGCACCGGCUAACUCCGUGCCAGCAGCCGCGGUAAUACGGAGGGUGCAAGCGUUAUCCGGAAUCAUUGGGUUUAAAGGGUCCGCAGGCGGUCUUAUAAGUCAGUGGUGAAAGCCUACAGCUCAACUGUAGAACUGCCAUUGAUACUGUAGGACUUGAAUUCGAUCGAAGUGGGCGGAAUGUGAUAUGUAGCGGUGAAAUGCUUAGAUAUGUCACAGAACACCGAUAGCGAAGGCAGCUCACUAGGUCUGGAUUGACGCUCAGGGACGAAAGCGUGGGGAGCAAACAGGAUUAGAAACCCGGGUAGUCC